CGGGCGAGCUGCCGGUUUAAGUCCCUUGGAACGGGGCGUCAUAGAGGGUGAGAAUCCCGUAUGUGACCGGUCAUCGAGCCCAUGUGAAACUCCUUCGACGAGUCGAGUUGUUUGGGAAUGCAGCUCAAAAUGGGUGGUAAAUUUCAUCUAAAGCUAAAUACUGGCCAGAGACCGAUAGCGCACAAGUAGAGUGAUCGAAAGAUGAAAAGCACUUUGGAAAGAGAGUCAAAAAGUACGUGAAAUUGUUGAAAGGGAAGCGCUUGCAACCAGACCUGUCCGUGGGCGAUCAGCCGUCCUUCUCUGGGCGGUGCACUCACCCGCGAUCAGGCCAGCAUCGGUUCGGGCGGCCGGACAAAGGCCUCGGGAACGUAGCUCCUCUCGGGGAGUGUUAUAGCCCUUGGUGCAAUGCGGCCAGCCUGGACCGAGGACCGCGCUUCGGCUAGGAUGCUGGCGUAAUGGUUGUAAGCGGCCCGUCUUGAAACACGGACCAAGGAGUCUAACAUCUAUGCGAGUGUUUGGGUGUUAAACCCAUACGCGUAAUGAAAGUGAACGGAGGUGGGAACCCCCAGAGGGCGCACCAUCGACCGAUCCUGAUGUCUUCGGAUGGAUUUGAGUACGAGCAUAGCUGUUGGGACCCGAAAGAUGGUGAACUAUGCCUGAAUAGGGUGAAGCCAGAGGAAACUCUGGUGGAGGCUCGCAGCGGUUCUGACGUGCAAAUCGAUCGUCAAAUUUGGGUAUAGGGGCGAAAGACUAAUCGAACCAUU
Molecule: ribosomal RNA, 764 nt
Filed under: Blastenia ammiospila
Lineage: Eukaryota; Fungi; Ascomycota; Lecanoromycetes; Teloschistales; Teloschistaceae
Description: LSU rRNA
Rfam family: Eukaryotic large subunit ribosomal RNA
Source: RNAcentral